RNAcentral lists this ribosomal RNA (108 nucleotides) under Erinaceus europaeus (western European hedgehog). The record is from RNAcentral. Lineage: Eukaryota; Metazoa; Chordata; Mammalia; Eulipotyphla; Erinaceidae.
UCUAUGCCGUACCACCCAUAACACACCCAUCUCCUUUGAUCUUGGAAGCUAGGCAGGGUCAGACCUCGUUAGUACUUGGAUGGGAGAAAUGCUACGCUGAAUGUAGAU